ACAGGAGCUCUGUCGGCUUUGGCUUUGGAAUAGAUGAUGAGACACCUUGGCAGCUCGUUGGUCAUAUCAAAUAUCCAAUAAUUUACAAGCUAAUCCUCUAAAUGUAUUCGGUGUUGUGAUAAAAAGAAAACAAUUACAGGUGAUCAAGUAUACAUUACUUUUGAUCUUACUUCUUAAGCUCAAUCGCCGCAUCCGCACACACACACACAUCGCAGAGACAAGACAGAUACAGAUUAUACCAAACACAAGUCAAAUACCUAAGGAAAUUUACCAAUCACAACUUGCACCUAGACAGAAUUAUUUGUAGGCGUUAGAGCUCAGACUUUCUCUUGAGUCUUUUGGCACAAAUUAAUAUUGCAAUGGGUCCAGAGAGAGAGUUCUCAGCAGAAUUAGAUUUGAUUUCUAAAUGAAAAAAUCAUUUUGUUGUCAUUUAAGAGCUUAUUAUAUAUCAUCUAUAACUAUUAUUUGAGUUAAAAAAUUCGUUUCGUUUACUCGUGAAUUAUUUACCAAAGGAAAAGUUAAGCCUUCGAGAUUGUGUCCGAACGGAACGGAGAGUCAACAGAAGGAUUGCUGGGAAAACAAGAAACAAACAUCGCUCAUGUGUGAAACUGGAAUGUGGCAUGGCAGCGGAGCAGACCGGACUAGACAUGCUAGACAAAGACUAGAUGGAAACGUGACUAUCUCCCUGUCAAAUGAGCAAGGUGGCUCCAGAGACGGGGCAGAUGCAGUCGGUGGGGUAGGCUCCCAACUAAUAGUUGCCACAAAAACGGCAGAAUGGAGACCAGAAAAAAGCAGGUGCCAACAAUGAAUGGCCCUGAGCAGUGCGAAGAUACAAAAUGUACAGACAGCAGUUCGUUUAUGCCAAGCGGUUUUCAUCAACGAGUAACGAGUAGCCGAUCAACGAGUGAGCUUAAUUCAGCGCUUUCCGCUGGGAAACCAAUAUGGUAGAUGUAUGUAUGGUUAGGAAAUGACUGAUCUAAGGGCUUUCAAAUUUUAGACACGCUUCCUCAAUGACACCUCACGCAUCCCUCAUCAUGUUGUACUCCUAUUGGGGAACAAGAAAGAGAGAGAGACAGAGAGAGAGAGAGAGUUAAAGUAAGAGAGUGACAGCAGAGAGAAGAUAGAUCUUAGAUUUAUCUACCCGUUUAGACCUCAUAUAUUUGUGUACUUAUAUAUCAAUAUACUCGUAUUCUCGAUGUACCACUGAAUGUAUACCAUUAUGUACUUUACAAUGUUUGCGGCAAUUUGUGCUUUUUGUGAGAAACUAUACAAUAUUUGUAACAAAUGUAUGCUGAACCAAACUAUACACAAAUUUCGGACUGUAACUGCAUAGAAUUUUAAGAGCAAGGAUUGCGAUAUCAGAUGUUUGUGAGUGAAAUAUGCGAACGGAUCUAAAUUAAAUUUCGGGAACUCUUCCC
RNAcentral lists this long non-coding RNA (1418 nucleotides) under Drosophila guanche. The record is from RNAcentral. Lineage: Eukaryota; Metazoa; Arthropoda; Insecta; Diptera; Drosophilidae.